AGAAUGCCAACGAGAGCUGAGGGUGUAGAGCAAAGUAGUUCUAAGCUUCAGUUAAACUUCUUUAGGUAAGAACUUAUUUACUUUUUCUUUCUUAAUUUUCCUCCCUUAAAAGAUAAACUAAUAAACUCUUCAAUGGUCUUUUCAGUAUAGUUCUUAUGUAGUUUAACAUAGCUUAUAAAUUGAGUUUAACAAUAAACUCAAGAAGAUAAUUUUAUAAACCCUGUUUUCCAAUCUGUCAUUUACUUAAAUUAUUUUGGUUGUUUUCCCUUUUUUUCCUUCUUUCUCACCCCCUCCCUCUCCAUGAAGAUUCAGGUGCUUAACAUAUCAUUUUUUUCCCUGCUGGAAUUUUAGCAUUGAUAUGAACCAUGGACAAGUAUAUUCUGCUGCCACAAAGACUGUAAAGUGCUUCAUUUCAACAGCUGAGGCAAGCCAAGUGAUCAUUAAUAAAGCUUUUCUUGCUUCCUUCAGUGGUGUUGGUAGUAAAAUGGAAGGUGUCUUGCUGCAGGUAACUAAUGAAGAAGUGGUCAACCACAGAGUCUUCAAGAAAUAAGAAAUUCUGUACCAUCUGAAAGUAGUUCUUGUUGGUGCCUUCAUUUAAGAAGCACUUUUAAGAUAAAAGGGAAUGUUUUCUGAUUAAAAACUUCAUUUAGUACAGGUUCUUAAUAAAAUUACAAAAAUGAGUGUUGAUUGUAAAGGUUAACAUCAGAUUAGCUAAGGAUAAUGUGUUAUGUUUUAAAUUAGGAUUUGUGAGUAGACAGAUAAGCUCUAUUUUAAAUACAAGUUUUAUAAAAUAAAUACUUUUGUAACCAAA
Molecule: long non-coding RNA, 811 nt
Filed under: Rattus norvegicus (Norway rat)
Lineage: Eukaryota; Metazoa; Chordata; Mammalia; Rodentia; Muridae
Description: long non-coding RNA NONRATT021420
Source: RNAcentral